GGGCCCGUAGCUCAGCUAGGUAGAGCAAUCGGCUCUUAACCGAUGGGUCGAGGGUUCGAAUCCCUCCGGGCCCG
RNAcentral lists this transfer RNA (74 nucleotides) under Methanomassiliicoccales archaeon. Its description in RNAcentral is "tRNA-Lys". It matches the Rfam family "tRNA". Rfam says of the family: Transfer RNA (tRNA) molecules are approximately 80 nucleotides in length. Their secondary structure includes four short double-helical elements and three loops (D, anti-codon, and T loops). RNAcentral also lists the same sequence under 3 other names. The record is from RNAcentral. Lineage: Archaea; Methanobacteriati; Thermoplasmatota; Thermoplasmata; Methanomassiliicoccales.